AUGCACCCAGUCCUCACCGCCUGCCCGCCGGCCAGGGACGCCAUCAGGAAGAUGCAGAUGCUAAAGCUGGACAAGAAGAACGCCAUCGACCACCCGGAGCGGGCCGAAGCCAACAAGCAGCAAGCCGAGGACCACUGCAAGCAGCUGGAGGGGCAGCGGAAAAAGCUGAAGAGGACAGAGGCGAAAAGUAUUCUCAAUCCGUGAAGUAGGCCCAGGAGAAACUGGAGCGGGCUGAGAAGGCCACCGACGCUGAGGCGGAUAUGGCCUCCCUUAACCGCCACAUUCAACAGGAAGAGGAGGAGCCGGACCGGGCCCAGGAGCGCUGUCUACAGCCCUGCAAAAGCUAGAGGAGACCGAGGAGAAGGCAGCCGAUGAGAGUGAGAGAGGAAUGAAGGUCAUAAAAACCCGGCCAUGAAAGGCAAGGAGCAGAUGGAGUCGGAGGAGGUGCUGCUGAAGGAGGCCAAGCUCAUCGCUGAGGAUUCAGACGGCAAAUACAAGGAAGUGGCCGGGAAACCGCUGAUCCUGGAGGGAGACCUGGAGCGCUCAGAAGAGAGAGCUGAGGUGGCCGAGAGCCGAGCCAGACAGUUGGAGGAGAAACUUGAAACCAUGGACCAGACCCUCAAGUCCCUGAUGGCCUCAGAGGAGGAGUCUUCCACCAAAGAAGAUAAAUAUGAAGAGGAGAUGAAACUGCUGGAGGAGAAGCUGAAGGAGGCUGAGACCAGAGCAGAGUUUGUCGAAAGGUCUGUGGCAAAGUUGGAGAAAACCACCGAUGACCUAGAAGAGACGUUGGCCAGUGCCAAGGAGGAGAACGUGGAGAUUCAUCAGAUCUUGGACCAGACCCUGCUGGAACUCAGCAACCUGUGAGGGCCGGUGUCCUGCCCGCAGCCAAGCUAUAGUUGCGGCCCCAACCGAAUAAAACUGUCAAAAUUGACGUUACCAGACAAACAACAACUCACCUCAUGCUCUUUUUCCCUUAUGUUUACUUAUUCUUUACUAAAAACAUGGAUCAAUUCUACUACCUAACACAUUAACUGCGUUCAGUUUUGUUUCUUUUCAAUCCUUAUCCACAGACAUGUCUAUCUGAUGUAGUUGUAAAGAUGUUAAAAGAUUUUGCAUUUUACUCUCUAUUUAAUUUUAUAGAUGAGACUCUUAUUUUAAACAAUUGUGUUUUAAUUCAAAGAAAAAAGUAAUUCUAUGAGGUUUUGACUAGAGAUAGCUUUCCACCAAAAUAUAAACCCUAAAAGCAAAUACAGCUAUAAAAAUUAAUUACACCAAAUUGCUUGAGCAAGGUAAACAGCAAACCCAGGGCCAAGUGUUAAAACUUGAGAGAGUCAAUUAUCAAGCUAUCUAGUAAAAGCCUCCAAAAAAUCGAUAAUCCUCCAGCCUGACUUUUAUGAUGACAUUAGAAAUAGCAUUUAACUUUUUUAUAUAAAGAACAAUCUCAUGGAAAGCUGGUCUAUGCUAAUCUUUUAAACCUAUUACCAACAUUUUAUGCAUCAUAAUCCUAGCUAAACCAGAAUACAUACAUAUAUAUGUGUGUGUAUAUAUAUAUUUAGGUUCGCGCAACAACAGCACUUUCUAAAAGGGUCCCUGCCAGGCAAUAACACCAUUCGUUUACUAAAUAUUGCCUGGGGACCCAGCCAUGCAUGACUCAUUAACACAGAUGGAAGUUUCACAUUAUAUCCCAGGUCCGUGGAACAAAUGGAGUGACCCCGUUAUUACUUCUUCUCCUUUCAUAUCUAUUUAAUGUGGUUUGUAAAGAGAAUUUGAUCUGCUCUGCUUUACUCCACUGCCAGAUGCCAUUAGAUUCAUGUUUUUAGUUUGUUUCUCCUUUGAACCCAAGUAUCAUUUAUCCUCAUGAGUAUACAGGUAGAGAAAAAAUCCCACCUUAAGCCAUUAUCUUAAAAAUAGUUCGUGAACAACCUCCUGUUAUUUCUUAAUAAUUUUUUGGUGAAAUUGCAAGUAAAGAAAAUUGGAUACUCAGAAAAGUUGUUAUAUAGCCUAUAAAUUUGUACCCUGAUAAUACCAAACAUUGCAUAUUCUCACAAAACAGAGGACAGUUAUUUUAUAACGGAGUAGUCUAUCAAUUUUCUUUUUCUAGUGUUACUAUUUUCUAGUAUUACUAUUACUCAUUCAAAUAAUAAAGUCAACUUAAGGCUAUGUAAACAAUGGAGUAAGAGACACUUGUUUCUAAACCUCUUACAACAUGAUGAAAUAAAUUACAGCCUAUCCAACCAAGAGAUUAUAUCAAAGCCGUUGACUAUGAUGACAUAGGUCUCUAUUUAUUGUCCAGGAUGGAUACUUACAACAUAUGACCAAUUAAAAAAUAAACAACAGGUCAAUAUGAUAUGUAAUCCAA
Macaca mulatta (Rhesus monkey) is the source of this 2359-nucleotide non-coding RNA. The record is from RefSeq and is a predicted model, not a curated record. Lineage: Eukaryota; Metazoa; Chordata; Mammalia; Primates; Cercopithecidae.